GGGGACAACAGCCAGAAAUGGCUGCUAAUACCGCAUAAGCCUGCUGUGCCGCAUGGCACAGCAGGGAAAACCACGGUGGUACAGGAUGGGCCCGCGUCUGAUUAGUUAGUUGGCAGGGUAACGGCCUACCAAGACAACGAUCAGUAGCCGGCUUGAGAGAGUGGACGGCCACAUUGGGACUGAGACACGGCCCAGACUCCUGCGGGAGGCAGCAGUGGGGAAUAUUGCACAAUGGGGGGAACCCUGAUGCAGCAAUGCCGCGUGGGUGAAGAAGCACUCCGGUGUGUAAAGCCCUGUCAGCAGGGAAGAAAAUGACAGUACCUGGACAAGAAGCCCCGGCUAACUACGUGCCAGCAGCCGCGGUAAUACGUAGGGGGCAAGCGUUAUCCGGAUUUACUGGGUGUAAAGGGAGCGCAGGCGGCGUGGCAAGUCAGAUGUGAAAACCCGGGGCCCAACCCCGGGAGUGCAUUUGAAACUGCCAUGCUGGAGUGCCGGAGAGGUAAGCGGAAUUCCUAGUGUAGCGGUGAAAUGCGUAGAUAUUAGGAGGAACACCAGUGGCGGAGGCGGCUUACUGGACGGUAACUGACGCUGAGGCUCGAAAGCGUGGGGAGCAAACAGGAUUAGAUACCCUGGUAGUCCACGCCGUAAACGAUGAA
RNAcentral lists this ribosomal RNA (656 nucleotides) under uncultured bacterium. Its description in RNAcentral is "bacterial SSU rRNA". It matches the Rfam family "Bacterial small subunit ribosomal RNA", at positions 139 to 813 of the family's 1533-position model. The record is from RNAcentral.